This 484-nucleotide ribosomal RNA is filed under the name uncultured bacterium. RNAcentral's name for it is "partial 16S ribosomal RNA". It matches the Rfam family "Bacterial small subunit ribosomal RNA", at positions 30 to 507 of the family's 1533-position model. The record is from RNAcentral.
AUUGAACGCUGGCGGCAGGCCUAACACAUGCAAGUCGAGCGGAUGAAGGGAGCUUGCUCCUGGAUUCAGCGGCGGACGGGUGAGUAAUGCCCAGGAAUCUGUCUGGUAGUGGGGGAUAACGUCCGGAAACGGGCGCUAAUACCGCAUACGUCCUGAGGGAGAAAGUGGGGGAUCUUCGGACCUCACGCUAUCAGAUGAGCCUAGGUCGGAUUAGCUAGUUGGUGGGGUAAAGGCCUACCAAGGCGACGAUCCGUAACUGGUCUGAGAGGAUGAUCAGUCACACUGGAACUGAGACACGGUCCAGACUCCUACGGGAGGCAGCAGUGGGGAAUAUUGGACAAUGGGCGAAAGCCUGAUCCAGCCAUGCCGCGUGUGUGAAGAAGGUCUUCGGAUUGUAAAGCACUUUAAGUUGGGAGGAAGGGCAGUAAGUUAAUACCUUGCUGUUUUGACGUUACCAACAGAAUAAGCACCGGCUAACUUCGUG